Molecule: transfer RNA, 76 nt
Filed under: Oligoflexales bacterium
Lineage: Bacteria; Pseudomonadati; Bdellovibrionota; Oligoflexia; Oligoflexales
Description: tRNA-Ala
Rfam family: tRNA
About the family: Transfer RNA (tRNA) molecules are approximately 80 nucleotides in length. Their secondary structure includes four short double-helical elements and three loops (D, anti-codon, and T loops).
Source: RNAcentral
GGGGGUUUAGCUCAGCUGGUAGAGCGCUAGAUUUGCAUUCUAGAGGUCAGGAGUUCGACUCUCCUAACCUCCACCA